This 74-nucleotide transfer RNA is filed under the name Helobdella robusta. It matches the Rfam family "tRNA". From Rfam's summary of the family: Transfer RNA (tRNA) molecules are approximately 80 nucleotides in length. Lineage: Eukaryota; Metazoa; Annelida; Clitellata; Rhynchobdellida; Glossiphoniidae. The record is from Rfam by way of RNAcentral.
GGCCUUGUGGUCUAAUAGGAUAAGGCCUUGGCCUCCGGAGCCAAAUGAUGUGGGUUCGAGUCCCGCCAAGGCCU